GGAUGUAGCUCAAUGGUAGAGCCUCAGUCUUCCAAACUGAUGGUGGGUUCCGCUGGAUCCCAUGCAAGCACUGGGAUCGACCGACAACUGAAAACCGAAAUCCCGGCCAAAACCCGUCCGAUCUU
Molecule: transfer RNA, 125 nt
Filed under: Microbacterium sp.
Lineage: Bacteria; Bacillati; Actinomycetota; Actinomycetes; Micrococcales; Microbacteriaceae
Description: tRNA-Gly
Rfam family: tRNA (bases 3-63)
Source: RNAcentral